UUUUGGACCCUGAGACUGGUAAGUCUAUUUUUGGCUUCUAGUGAGCUACAACACAUGUUUUCAUGGUUGAACAACCAUUUUCAUGUCUCCGUUCCGCCACCCAUAUUUUGGUCCUCGAAGCAUGAUAAAGCGGUGUUUUGCCUCUCGCGAGCUACUUCACACGUUUCUAUGGCCAAACAAUAAUUUUCAUAUUGCCGGUCCACCACCCACAUUUUUGUCCCUGGGGGUCGAUAAGGCUAUUUUUGGCCUUCUGUGAGCUAUAUCACACAUUUUCAUGGACAAACAACCAUGAACAUUGUUGGGGGAGGGCCUUCGUCGCCGAAGGGCUCCGAGAUAUCAACUUUGUCAAGAAAAGCAAGUUUCAGGUAAAAACGUUCAUCUUCGUCAUCGAACCAAAGUUGAUAAAUGGAUGAAGUCAAGAAGAGCUGAAGCCGAAGGAGGAAGCUUCGGGUGAUACGUGGCGACCUACGAAGCAGAGAAGAAGGCAGAGACUGUGGAAGGCUUGAUCAACAAGAUAUAUGGAUGGAAAAGUACAAUACUACCCUCAUAAUAUUUGUAGUUCAUAUGUAUAAGGUUUGAUGACAUGUUUGUAAUUUCAGACGAAGUUGUACAUCGUGGCUAUAAAUAGAAGAACGGUGCCAUGCAUAAGCAUGCAUUUUGAUCAGAGCGAUCCGAGUUGCUCCGACUACAAAGUUGUAUACUUCCUUUGCUUUCACUUGUUUGAGUGUACAACCAAAGGUAUACUUGUAAUCAUUUGAUAUAUUGUAAAGAACGAAAUAAUGUGCUUACACAUUCAGAUGAGUAAUUCGUUCUACCUAUCAGAAGUUACAUGCUUCUUUUAUUAAUGUGUUUCUACACUACCUAUCAUCUCUCUUUAAUUAACCUUCAAAG
Molecule: long non-coding RNA, 891 nt
Filed under: Zea mays
Lineage: Eukaryota; Viridiplantae; Streptophyta; Magnoliopsida; Poales; Poaceae
Description: long non-coding RNA (ZMAY_LNC004616)
Source: RNAcentral